GAUUUCGCCUCGAUUCCUCUUCUUUCAUAUUCAAUUGUGCCCGACAAUUCAGAGAAUUUUCGUGUCGACAAUUUUCAUCACCCCGCUUUCCAUUACCCCUCCUUUGCAGCGACGCAAAUUUUUUUUGCUGCCGUUUGAGUUUUAGUGGGGUUCUCUGUGCAACCCCACUAGCUCACUGCUUUUUUUGUGCUUCACACUCACUUCCAAGUCAUCAUUCAACGUGCUCUGUGUCUUUGGUCAUUCAACGAUGCUAACCACUUUUCCAUCAAUAGGAAGCCGCCGAACUCGGCAAGGGUUCCUUCAAGUACGCUUGGGUUCUUGACAAGCUCAAGGCCGAGCGUGAGCGUGGUAUCACCAUCGACAUUGCUCUGUGGAAGUUCGAGACUCCCAAGUACUAUGUCACCGUCAUUGGUAUGUCUACUUCAUCAACUUCAUGCUGCAAUUGCAACCCAGUGCUAACAGGCAAUUCACAGACGCUCCCGGCCACCGUGAUUUCAUCAAGAACAUGAUCACUGGUACUUCCCAGGCCGAUUGCGCUAUCCUCAUCAUUGCCGCCGGUACUGGUGAGUUCGAGGCUGGUAUCUCCAAGGAUGGCCAGACCCGUGAGCACGCUCUGCUCGCCUACACCCUGGGUGUCAAGCAGCUCAUCGUUGCCAUCAACAAGAUGGACACUGCCAACUGGGCCGAGGCUCGUUACCAGGAAAUCAUCAAGGAGACCUCCAACUUCAUCAAGAAGGUCGGCUUCAACCCCAAGGCUGUUGCUUUCGUCCCCAUCUCCGGUUUCAACGGUGACAACAUGCUCCAGCCCUCCACCAACUGCCCCUGGUACAAGGGCUGGGAGAAGGAGACCAAGGCUGGCAAGUUCACCGGCAAGACCCUCCUUGAGGCCAUCGACUCCAUCGAGCCCCCCAAGCGUCCCACGGACAAGCCCCUCCGUCUUCCCCUCCAGGAUGUCUACAAGAUCGGUGGUAUUGGAACAGUUCCCGUCGGCCGUAUCGAGACUGGUAUCCUCAAGCCCGGUAUGGUCGUCACCUUCGCUCCCUCCAACGUCACCACUGAAGUCAAGUCCGUCGAGAUGCACCACGAGCAGCUCGUCGAGGGUGUUCCCGGUGACAACGUUGGUUUCAACGUCAAGAACGUUUCCGUUAAGGAAAUUCGCCGUGGUAACGUUGCCGGUGACUCCAAGAACGACCCCCCCAUGGGUGCCGCUUCUUUCACCGCUCAGGUCAUCGUCAUGAACCACCCUGGCCAGGUCGGUGCUGGCUACGCCCCCGUU
RNAcentral lists this ribosomal RNA (1276 nucleotides) under Trichoderma harzianum. Its description in RNAcentral is "partial small subunit ribosomal RNA". The record is from RNAcentral. Lineage: Eukaryota; Fungi; Ascomycota; Sordariomycetes; Hypocreales; Hypocreaceae.